AAAGCGUGCGCAGGCGGUUCGGAAAGAAGGAUGUGAAAUCCCAGGGCUUAACCUUGGAACUGCAUUCUUAACUACCGGGCUAGAGUAUGUCAGAGGGGGGUGGAAUUCCGCGUGUAGCAGUGAAAUGCGUAGAUAUGCGGAGGAACACCGAUGGCGAAGGCAGCCCCCUGGGAUAAUACUGACGCUCAUGCACGAAAGCGUGGGGAGCAAACAGGAUUAGAUACCCCGGU
Molecule: ribosomal RNA, 230 nt
Filed under: uncultured bacterium
Lineage: Bacteria
Description: partial 16S ribosomal RNA
Rfam family: Bacterial small subunit ribosomal RNA
Source: RNAcentral